RNAcentral lists this ribosomal RNA (445 nucleotides) under uncultured bacterium. Its description in RNAcentral is "bacterial SSU rRNA". It matches the Rfam family "Bacterial small subunit ribosomal RNA", at positions 30 to 473 of the family's 1533-position model. The record is from RNAcentral.
AUUGAACGCUGGCGGCAUGCCUUACACAUGCAAGUCGAACGGCAGCACGGGUGCUUGCACCUGGUGGCGAGUGGCGAACGGGUGAGUAAUAUAUCGGAACGUACCUUAUCGUGGGGGAUAACGCAGCGAAAGCUGCGCUAAUACCGCAUACGCCCUGAGGGGGAAAGCGGGGGACCGUAAGGCCUCGCGCGAUUAGAGCGGCCGAUAUCUGAUUAGCUUGUUGGUGGGGUAAAGCCCACCAAGGCGACGAUCAGUAGCUGGUCUGAGAGGACGAUCAGCCACACUGGGACUGAGACACGGCCCAGACUCCUACGGGAGGCAGCAGUGGGGAAUUUUGGACAAUGGGGGGCAACCCUGAUCCAGCAAUGCCGCGUGAGUGAAGAAGGCCUUCGGGUUGUAAGCUCUUUGUCAGGGAGAAACAGCAGCUCUAACACAGUCUGCGAAU